Molecule: long non-coding RNA, 599 nt
Organism: Suricata suricatta (meerkat)
Lineage: Eukaryota; Metazoa; Chordata; Mammalia; Carnivora; Herpestidae
Exons: 2
Source: RefSeq, a predicted model, not a curated record
UCCCCGCCUUCUUUCCUGGGCAGCUCUGUUAAAGAAGGGCGCUUGUCCUUCAAACCCCGAAGUUCUUUCAUCAAAGGCCCUCCGGCUUUUCCGCGUGACCUUGGAAGCUUUGCUCGUUACAACUCCUCCGAGACUUCCGCCCGCCUCAGCCCAAAAAGAAGGCGAAGCUUUCGCGGUGUCUUCCGAGUCCUGCUGCCAGCCCCUUGAUGGGCCUCUGGCCCCCGGCCGCCGACGCCUGGCUUACGUUACAGCAAAUUGUAGCCGGGCCUGCUUGUACCUCCGUCCUGUACAUUCCAGAAGCCUGAAAGUCCUGGAAGUUCUACUCCAAAGGACAAUAUUCCAGAAGGUGUCCCUUUUUCUUCAUCGCCACCAUCUCUCUCCUGAACUUCCACAAUGCCUCCUAACUGUUCACCUGUGUCGCCUUUUGGUUCCUUUAGUUCAUUCUCAAAGCAGUUAAAGUGAUCUUUGCAAAACGGAUCAUAUGUCAUCCCUGUUUAAAAUCUUCCAGUUCAUUCUGAUUUGAAAAUGGGCGAAGGACAGGAAUAGACAUUUCACUGAUGUCAGUGAUGGCAAAUAAAUGCAUGAAAAGUUGUUCAACA